UGGUGCCAGCAGCCGCGGUAAUUCCAGCUCCAAUAGCGUAUAUUAAAGUUGUUGCAGUUAAAAAGCUCGUAGUUGAAUUUCGGGGUUAGUAGGUUGGUCAUGCCUCUGGUAUGUACUGGUCUCACUGAUUCCUCCUCCCUUAUGAACCGUAAUGCCAUUAAUUUGGUGUUGCGGGGAAUUUGGACUGUUACUUUGAAAAAAUUAGAGUGUUUAAAGCAAGCUAACGCUUGAAUACAUUAGCAUGGAAUAAUGAAAUAGGACGUUCGAUCUUAUUUUGUUGGUUUCUAGGAUUGACGUAAUGAUUAAUAGGGAUAGUUGGGGGCAUUAGUAUUCAAUUGUCAGAGGUGAAAUUCUUGGAUUUAUUGAAGACUAACUACUGCGAAAGCAUUUGCCAAGGAUGUUUUCAUUAAUCAAGAACGAAAGUUAGGGGAUCGAAGACGAUCAGAUACCGUCGUAGUCUUAACCAUAAACUAUGCCGACUAGGGA
RNAcentral lists this ribosomal RNA (486 nucleotides) under uncultured Glomeromycotina. RNAcentral describes it as "SSU rRNA". It matches the Rfam family "Eukaryotic small subunit ribosomal RNA", at positions 562 to 1052 of the family's 1831-position model. Lineage: Eukaryota; Fungi; Glomeromycota. The record is from RNAcentral.